CACUCCUGCCAGCCAAGACUUUCUCCUAUCCUAUUCAUUACAGCACAGCCCAGAACUCUUACCAUAACAUGCAGAACAACAGGCCAAACCAUGAGAUUCAUUGCCAAGCCUUGCUCUGCCCUGUUCUGCAUCACAGGGGCUGACCUCCUCCUGGUACAUUUCCCAAGCUCCUGUUCCAUCUGGCUCCUGAUUAAGUUUGGCCAAUGGGAGGCCUCAGAAGAACAUUAGAGGAAGGAAAAAGCCAAGGCUUCAGAACCACUUCUCCCAGCAAC
Molecule: long non-coding RNA, 272 nt
Organism: Symphalangus syndactylus (siamang)
Lineage: Eukaryota; Metazoa; Chordata; Mammalia; Primates; Hylobatidae
Source: RefSeq, a predicted model, not a curated record